GGAAUCAAUGUGUGAGGUGGUGCUAUGUAGCAGGAACCCCUCUUGCUUUGCAAAUAGUUUUUUGUUUGUUUUCCUUUUUGCCCAAUAGAGCCCUGCUCUACUGACCCUUCAAUGUGCCCGUGUGCCUAAAUAUUCCUGGUCGUGUGAAAAGAACCCAGGUAUUAGCUGAACUAAGGAGCACAAUUCUGCAACAUUUUGGCACCCAAACACGGGGCUUGAGAAAUGAAUGCAAUUGGAGAAACUGGUUGUUUUACCAGGCGUUGAUUGGAAAUGUGUGCUUCCCUUUAAGCAGUCAAGCUCAACUUGCAGAACUGAUGGGAACCCCUUGGGAAAACUGGCCUCAAAUGUUUGUCUACACAGUCCACAUACAGGGUUCUUAACCUGCGUGGACUGGAGCCCAAAAUGCACACUGGAGGAAGUGGAUGGAGCCACGUGGAUGUCAUGCCUUAUGCAGGGGAGGAGCCUGCUCUCUUCAGCUCCUGUGGUAAUGUGGGAAUCGAUCUGUGAGGUGAGGACCUGUUAGCAGGAACCCCUCUUGCUUUGCUGAAAGUUUUAUUUUUCUUUUUGCCCUAUAAAACCCUGUUCUACUAACCCUUCAAUAUGUCUGCAUUCCUAAAUUUUCCUGGUCAUGUGACGAGAACCUAGGUUUUAGCUGAACUAAGGAGCAAAAUUCUGCAACAUAAAGUCAAAGAAAACUAUGCCUAUAUCCAUUAAAUCAAAUGUUAAAAAGCAAAUAUAAAGAAAAAGUCUUCACAGCCCUAGAGAAAAGUGAAACAUUGUACAUAAAGAAGUAAUAAUUUGAAUGGAUUGUCAGAAACCAUGACUAGAAGACAGAGGAGCAAUAUUUUCAAAUUUCAUAGAGAAAGGAAAAAAAGAAAA
RNAcentral lists this long non-coding RNA (879 nucleotides) under Homo sapiens (human). RNAcentral's name for it is "p53 upregulated regulator of p53 levels". Lineage: Eukaryota; Metazoa; Chordata; Mammalia; Primates; Hominidae. The record is from RNAcentral.